This 520-nucleotide ribosomal RNA is filed under the name uncultured Glomus. RNAcentral describes it as "SSU rRNA". It matches the Rfam family "Eukaryotic small subunit ribosomal RNA", at positions 569 to 1092 of the family's 1831-position model. Lineage: Eukaryota; Fungi; Glomeromycota; Glomeromycetes; Glomerales; Glomeraceae. The record is from RNAcentral.
AGCAGCCGCGGUAAUUCCAGCUCCAAUAGCGUAUAUUAAAGUUGUUGCAGUUAAAAAGCUCGUAGUUGAAUUUCGGGAUCAAAUUGUCGGUCGUGCCUCGGUACGUACUGGCGUUAUUGGUUCCUCCCUUCUGAAGAACCGCGAUGUCAUUAAUUUGGUGUCGCGGGGAAUCAGGACUGUUACUUUGAAAAAUUAGAGUGUUUAAAGCAGGCUCGCGCUUGAAUACAUUAGCAUGGAAUAAUGAAAUAGGACGUUUGAUUCUAUUUUGUUGGUUUCUAGGAUCGACGUAAUGAUUAAUAGGGAUAGUUGGGGGCAUUAGUAUUCAAUUGUCAGAGGUGAAAUUCUUGGAUUUAUUGAAGACUAACUACUGCGAAAGCAUUUGCCAAGGAUGUUUUCAUUAAUCAAGAACGAAAGUUAGGGGAUCGAAGACGAUCAGAUACCGUCGUAGUCUUAACCAUAAACCUAUGCCGACUAGGGAUCGGAUGAUGUUAAUUUUUAAUGACUCAUUCGGCGCCUUACG